AGCCAGACUCCUACGGGAGGCAGCAGUGGGGAAUAUUGCACAAUGGGGGAAACCCUGAUGCAGCGACGCCGCGUGAGCGAUGAAGUAUUUCGGUAUGUAAAGCUCUAUCAGCAGGGAAGAAGAUGACGGUACCUGACUAAGAAGCCCCGGCUAACUACGUGCCAGCAGCCGCGGUAAUACGUAGGGGGCAAGCGUUAUCCGGAUUUACUGGGUGUAAAGGGAGCGUAGACGGCGAUGCAAGCCAGAUGUGAAAGCCCGGGGCUCAACCCCGGGACUGCAUUUGGAACUGUGUGGCUGGAGUGUCGGAGAGGCAGGCGGAAUUCCUAGUGUAGCGGUGAAAUGCGUAGAUAUUAGGAGGAACACCAGUGGCGAAGGCGGCCUGCUGGACGAUGACUGACGUUGAGGCUCGAAAGCGUGGGGAGCAAACAGGAUUAGAUACCCGUGUAC
This 447-nucleotide ribosomal RNA is filed under the name uncultured bacterium. RNAcentral describes it as "bacterial SSU rRNA". It matches the Rfam family "Bacterial small subunit ribosomal RNA", at positions 329 to 793 of the family's 1533-position model. The record is from RNAcentral.